Long non-coding RNA from Xiphophorus couchianus (Monterrey platyfish), 569 nucleotides. RefSeq lists it as uncharacterized. The transcript has 2 exons. The record is from RefSeq and is a predicted model, not a curated record. NCBI's taxonomy places the organism in Eukaryota, Metazoa, Chordata, Actinopteri, Cyprinodontiformes, Poeciliidae.
UUCCUCUAAAAAAAUACGUGCUUAUUUAAUUUAUGUAACGGCUACAAAAAAAUAAACCAAUCGGAGAUCCUUAUCUGCGGUUCCUAGGUAGAAUUUGUUUCCUCAGGAGAUUUUUUCUGGUUCAAGCUAAAAAUCAGCCAAUCUCGUCUUGUAUUGCAGUCAGUGGGCGGGUCCUUUCCCUUCCACAGGCUGUUAGCUAACCUAACGAUUUUUCUAUAAGUCUGUAGAUGUAACAGUUGAUAAGUGUUCAAUGCGCAGAUAAUGUAGCCCAAAACUACAGAUGUAUUGCAGAUUUUCUUUUUGUUGUUGUUGGCCUUUUUAAAACCACGAUUAAACCAUAAAACAAUCGCGGUGUUAAAGUUGGCUGCUUCGGUCCUGGAUGCCGUGUGGAAAAAAAAAGAAGCUAAUACUAAAGGUUUAACGGUCACUUUUCAAAACAUAUCCGUGGAGUGAUGACCAAAUGGACGGUGUGGGUUUGGUUUCAUCAGCGUUCAUGAUUACAGUGAGACCUUUACAUUUUGGUUCGUGGCCAGAACAGCUGUAACCUGUGCCAAGUAUUAAAAAGGUAU